RNAcentral lists this ribosomal RNA (253 nucleotides) under uncultured bacterium. RNAcentral's name for it is "partial 16S ribosomal RNA". It matches the Rfam family "Bacterial small subunit ribosomal RNA", at positions 524 to 776 of the family's 1533-position model. The record is from RNAcentral.
UACGUAGGGUGCAAGCGUUAAUCGGAAUUACUGGGCGUAAAGCGUGCGCAGGCGGUUGUGCAAGACAGAUGUGAAAUCCCCGGGCUUAACCUGGGAACUGCAUUUGUGACUGCACGGCUAGAGUGUGUCAGAGGGGGGUAGAAUUCCACGUGUAGCAGUGAAAUGCGCAGAUAUGUGGAGGAAUACCGAUGGCGAAGGCAGCCCCCUGGGAUAACACUGACGCUCAUGCACGAAAGCGUGGGGAGCAAACAGG